RNAcentral lists this ribosomal RNA (1125 nucleotides) under Bacillus pumilus. RNAcentral's name for it is "bacterial SSU rRNA". It matches the Rfam family "Bacterial small subunit ribosomal RNA", at positions 173 to 1290 of the family's 1533-position model. The record is from RNAcentral. Lineage: Bacteria; Bacillati; Bacillota; Bacilli; Caryophanales; Bacillaceae.
UCCUUGAACCGCAUGGUUCAGGGAUGAAUCACGGUUUCGGCUGUCACUUACGCAUGGACCCGCGGCGCAAUAACUAGUUGGUGGGGUAAUGGCUCACCACGGCCACUAUGCGUACCCAACCUGAGAGGGUGAUCGGCCACACUGAGACUGAGACCCGACCCAUACUCCUACGGGAGGCGGCAAUAAGGAAUCUUCCGCAAUGGACCAGAGUCUGACGGACCACCGGCGCGUGAAUGAUGAACGUUUUCGGAUCGUAAAGCUCUGUUGUUAAGGAAGAACAGGUGCAAAAGUAACUGCUCGCACCUUGACGGUACCUAACCAAAAAGCCACGGCUAAGUACGUGCCAGCAGCCGCGGUAAUACGUAGGUGGCAAGCGUUGUCCGGAGUUAUUGGGCGUAAAGGGCUCGCAGGCGGUUUCUUAAGUCUGAUGUGAAAGCCCCCGGCUCAACCGGGGAGGGUCAUUGGAAACUGGGAAACUUGAGUGCAGAAGAGGAGAGUGGAAUUCCACGUGUAGCGGUGAAAUGCGUAGAGAUGUGGAGGAACACCAGUGGCGAAGGCGACUCUCUGGUCUGUAACUGACGCUGAGGAGCGAAAGCGUGGGGAGCGAACAGGAUUAGAUACCCUGGUAGUCCACGCCGUAGACGAUGAGUGCUAAGUGUUAGGGGGUUUCCGCCCCUUAGUGCUGCAGCUAACGCAUUAAGCACUCCGCCUGGGGAGUACGGUCGCAAGACUGAAACUCAUAGGAAUUGACGGGGGCCCCCACAAGCGGUGGAGCAUGUGGUUUAAUUGGAAGCAACGCGAAGAACCUUACCAGGUCUUGACAUCCUCUGACAACCCUAGAGAUAGGGCUUUCCCUUCGGGGACAGAGUGACAGGUGGUGCAUGGUUGUCGUCAGCUCGUGUCGUGAGAUGUUGGGUUAAGUCCCGCAACGAGCGCAACCCUUGAUUUUAGUUGCCAGCAUUUAGUUGGGCACUCUAAGGUGACUGCCGGUGACAAACCGGAGGAAGGUGGGGAUGACGUCAAAUCAUCAUGCCCCUUAUGACCUGGGCUACACACGUGCUACAAUGGACAGAACAAAGGGCUGCGAGACCGCAAGGUUUAGCCAAUCCCAUAAAUCUGUUCUCA